This 492-nucleotide ribosomal RNA is filed under the name uncultured bacterium. RNAcentral describes it as "partial 16S ribosomal RNA". It matches the Rfam family "Bacterial small subunit ribosomal RNA", at positions 29 to 507 of the family's 1533-position model. The record is from RNAcentral.
AGUGAACGCUGGCGGUAGGCCUAACACAUGCAAGUCGAACGGCAGCACAGUAAGAGCUUGCUCUUACGGGUGGCGAGUGGCGGACGGGUGAGGAAUACAUCGGAAUCUACUUUUUCGUGGGGGAUAACGUAGGGAAACUUACGCUAAUACCGCAUACGACCUACGGGUGAAAGCAGGGGAUCUUCGGACCUUGCGCGAUUGAAUGAGCCGAUGUCGGAUUAGCUAGUUGGCGGGGUAAAGGCCCACCAAGGCGACGAUCCGUAGCUGGUCUGAGAGGAUGAUCAGCCACACUGGAACUGAGACACGGUCCAGACUCCUACGGGAGGCAGCAGUGGGGAAUAUUAGACAAAGGGCGCAAGCCUGAUCCAGCCAUACCGCGUGGGUGAAGAAGGCCUUCGGGUUGUAAAGCCCUUUUGUUGGGAAAGAAAAGCAGCAGGUUAAUACCCCGCUGUUCUGACGGUACCCAAAGAAUAAGCGCCGGCUAACUUCGUG